UCGGUCCCGAGUAGAGUGGCGCACGGGUGAGUAACGCGUAAGUGAUCUACCCCUGUAUCUGGGAUAACUGUGGGAAACUGCAGCUAAUACCGGAUACGUUCAUGUAGUUGCGAUUAUGUGAAGAAAGAUGGCCUCUGAUUCAAGCUAUUGUACAGGGAGGAGCUUGCGUACCAUUAGCUAGUUGGUAGGGUAAUGGCCUACCAAGGCAACGAUGGUUAGCGGGUCUGAGAGGAUGAUCCGCCACACUGGAACUGAAACACGGACCAGACUCCUACGGGAGGCAGCAGUGAGGAAUAUUGCGCAAUGGGGGCAACCCUGACGCAGCGACGCCGCGUGGAUGAUGAAGGCCUUCGGGUCGUAAAAUCCUGUCAGAUGGGAAGAAGUGUGCGAUGGCUAAUACCUGUUGCAUUUGACGGUACCAUCAGAGGAAGCACCGGCUAACUCCGUGCCAGCAGCCGCGGUAAUACGGAGGGUGCAAGCGUUGUUCGGAAUUACUGGGCGUAAAGCGCGCGUAGGCGGUUUGUUAGGUCAGAUGUGAAAGCCCAAGGCUCAACCUUGGACGUGCAUUUGAAACUGGCAGACUUGAGUAUUGGAGGGGGUGGUGGAAUUCCCGGUGUAGAGGUGAAAUUCGUAGAUAUCGGGAGGAAUACCGGUGGCGAAGGCGACCACCUGGCCAAAUACUGACGCUGAGGUGCGAAAGCGUGGGGAGCAAACAGGAUUAGAUACCCUGGUAGUCCACGCCGUANACGAUGAGAACUAGGUGUUGGGACGGUUGAUCGNCUCAUUGCCGCAGCUAACGCAUUAAGUUCUCCG
RNAcentral lists this ribosomal RNA (813 nucleotides) under uncultured bacterium. RNAcentral describes it as "bacterial SSU rRNA". It matches the Rfam family "Bacterial small subunit ribosomal RNA", at positions 80 to 871 of the family's 1533-position model. The record is from RNAcentral.